GACCUGUGAGGGAAACUUCACUGAGUGGAGAGUGAGGAAGUUCUCUGAGGAUGGCCGACUCUCUGACUGUAGGAGAAUGACUGGAUCCACAUGUAACAUCAUCACAUCAGAGUCAGAUACUGGAGUGUACUGGUGUGAGUCUGGAUCAGGAGAGUUCAGCAGUGCAGUCAACAUCACUGUACAGAAUGAUGGUAAUGGUCCUAUCCUGGUGAGUCCUGUUCAUCCUGUGACUGAGGGAGCUUCUGUUAGUCUGAGCUGCAGUUUGAAAACACAAAAAAUACUUUCCAA
Oreochromis niloticus (Nile tilapia) is the source of this 288-nucleotide long non-coding RNA. RefSeq lists it as uncharacterized. The record is from RefSeq and is a predicted model, not a curated record. The transcript has 2 exons. Lineage: Eukaryota; Metazoa; Chordata; Actinopteri; Cichliformes; Cichlidae.